Non-coding RNA from Smithella sp. SCADC, 170 nucleotides. NCBI's taxonomy places the organism in Bacteria, Pseudomonadati, Thermodesulfobacteriota, Syntrophia, Syntrophales, Smithellaceae. The record is from Rfam.
UCCAUCGCGAGGUGGGAUCUGAAGGAAGGCGAAGGCAAAACGCUGGCCUGACGGACAGGAACCGUAUGAGGCAUGGAGAGAGGAUGAGAAGGCAAUUAUCUUUAAAGUCCAGUACUUACCCGGAGUCUUUCCAUGUAUAUACGGCAGGCAUAAGCGGGAAGGUGGGUGCG